CCAAUUGCCUCCAUUAGAAUCCUCUUAAAAACAGAAAUAGUCAUGCGGUCCCCAGGCUUGCGUCCCCCUGCUGCCUCUGAGGGCUCACAGUCUGCACCUGAGUAUGGAAUAUUCCACUCUGCACCUUCUGAGUCAUCACAUGAGAUGGAAGAUACCAGCGUCUCUUUCUUUGUUUUACACAUGUUCUUUGUUCUGGAAAAGCAUGCUCUAUAUAUUUAGGAAGUCUUUGCUCAUUUUAGAGGAUAAUGGUUAAGUAUUUCUCUCCAAUAUUUACAGACUGCCGGGGAAAAGGACUUGGCUUCCACCACAGUCCUUACGGAACAGGGUUUCACAUGCUCUUGGCCAUGCCUCUUACAUGGCUCGCUCUUCGUGUGUUUCCAGUCCUCUCAGUAUGGUGGGUACUGAGACACAAUGUUGUAACUUCCUUUCUGUGUAAGGUUAGUGGGAACUAUGCUUUGAUUAAACGGAAGGCGGUGAGGAUUUCUGAAAUGCAUUUAAAGUAUUCUCCAGUUCAAAGUGAGACUUGGGAUGAAAGUUCUCAUGGGAGAGUAACUGAGGUGGUGGUGGAUUAAAUUUAGAGCAAAGGUCAAACACUCUCUUGUGUGACAUCUUUAUGCAAGAAAGCAGAAGAAACAAAGAAAAGACCCUGAGAACAAAGAAUGACAGAAGAGGGGAAAGUUCUUUACAAAAGAAAAGGAGGCUACAGCCAAGCAAAGGCAAGGGUUUCUUAUACUGAAGCAACUCGUAUGUAUGCUGUGUUUUAUUUUUUUUAAAAAAGGCAGUAAACCUAGAAAAUAGUUAAUUUACUUUAGAGAAAGGUGAUAGGAACAGAAAACUUGAGUAUUUUCUUGAGGGAGAGGAAAUCUAGGGAGGACAAUUGAUGCAGCUAGGAGAGACUUCUGCCUGUGGAGGGCCUCCUUUCUUUGUGUGUUCGCAUUCCUUUUCUUUUCUUUCUUUUUUUUUUUUUUUUACUUUUUUUUCAUCUUUGUUAACUUAGGUACUUCUUAUUACAUUUCAAUUGUUAUUCCCUUUCCUGGUUUCCGGGCCAACAUCCCCCUUACCCCUCCCCCUCCCCUUCUCUAUAGGUGUUCCCCUCCCCUUCCUCCCCCCAUUACCACCCUCCCCCCAACAAUCACGUUCACUGGGGGUUCAGUCUUGGCAGGAUCAAGAACUUCCCCUUCCACUGGUGCUCUUACUAUUCAUUGCUACCUAUGAGGUUGGAGCCCAGGGUCAGUCCACGUAUAGUCUUUGGGUAGUGGCUUAGUCCCUGGAAUCUCUGGUUGGUUGGCAUUGUUGUUCAUAUGGGGUCUCAAGCCCCUUCAAGCUCUUCCAGUUCUUUCUCUGAUUCCUUCAAUGAGGGUUCCAUUCUCAGUUCUGUGGUUUGCUGCUGGCAUUCGCCUAUGUAUUUGCUGUAUUCUGGCUGUGUCUCUCAGGAGAGAUCUACAUCCGGUUCCUGUCUGCCUGCUUGAUUCUUCCCUGGGUUGAAGUGGAAGCCAAAAGCACCUUCUGAAAGCACUGUGGUUUCAGGGAUUGAGCAGAGCUCCACCACCAGUUCACAAAGGCAUUGAGAAGAAAAUCAAGAAACAUUCUCAUGUGGGGAAUUAUCGAAUAGAUCAAGCUCAGUUCCAUAUUUCUUCUCAAUCCCUCCUUGAUUCCUACACACCCAACUUCGUGUGUUCUUUUUCCUCUAAAACCAUGAAGAAGACAAUGAUGAUGAGAAGAAGGGGAAGAAGAGUAGGAAAUGGGGCAGGAGGAGGAGAAGAGGAGCAAUAGAAGGAGAACAAGAAGGAGAAGGAGAAGAAGAAGGAGGAGAAAGAGAAGGAGAAGGAGGAGGAGGAAGAGAAAGGAAGAAGGAAGAAGAAGAAGAAGAAGAAGAAGAAGAAGAAGAAGAAGAGAAGAAGAAGAAGAAGAAGAAGAAGAAGAAGAAGAAGAAGAAGAAGAAGAAGAAGAAGAAGAAGAAGAAGAAGAAGAAGAAGAAGAAAGAUGAAAGGAGGAGGAGGAGGAGAACAAGAACAAGAAGAACAAGAAGAAUAAGAAUAAGAACAAGAAAUGGAACAAAACAUGGACUUUAAUUUGUUAGCAUGUUAACUUCUGAGCAUGAGGCCUGCCUUGAUCUGGUUGUAGAACUAACAGCUACCAUGUCUGCCACUGUGUCACUUCGUUCCCACUAGGAGGAAAAUGGACUAAACCUGUGAAACCGUAAGUAAGCCUCAAUUACAUGCUUUCUUUAUAAUAAUUGCUUUGUUCAUGGUGCCGCUUCAUAGCAAUAGAACACUGACUAAGACACCACUACAGAGAUUAUUGUGAGAUCUUUUAUUUAU
Molecule: long non-coding RNA, 2321 nt
Organism: Rattus norvegicus (Norway rat)
Lineage: Eukaryota; Metazoa; Chordata; Mammalia; Rodentia; Muridae
Source: RefSeq, a predicted model, not a curated record